ACACCGGUGCCCAAGAUUGAGGCUGUUGGGUGUCAUCGCGCUUCGGUCUCUACAGCUGUUGGUUACGGAAAACAGGACCCGUCGAACCUUUUCAAAACUUAUGCCAGAAGGCAGUGUGAUUGCACAAGUUUACAAUUAUGGAAAUGUUCUUUAGCCUUAAUACUUGAUUUAGGAUAGUGAUUUGGUAACAUAUCUGGACGCUGAGCUGAGGUAAUUUUAGUAAUUUUAGGUCUAAAGAUCAUGGAGAACAGUAGAUUUGUAAACGUUAGAGACUGAGUAGAUAGAACUUGAAUUUUUCUAAGAGAUAAAACUUCCUAGAAGGAACUUCUCUAAACAGAAAACCUUCUAAGUGUGUCUUACUUUAAAAACAAGUUUAAUCCUCUCAACUUGGCUUAGUUGUGUCUUCAUCUUAUUGAGUGUUGGAAGGAAGGGGUUCCUAACGGGACAGAGGAGUAGGGGAACAGAAGUUGCACCUCAAACUUCUGCUAAAUCUUAACUAAAAAGCAACCGUUAGCUUUUAGCACAAACAGAACCUGUAGAUUUUCAUAUUACAGUGACUGCAGAUGUCUUCAAUCUCUAACGUUUCCCAUUUGCUUGAAAUUAAGGAACUGUUUGUCGUUCAUGGCUAGUAAUUAAAAUAUGUUAUAGCUGGAUAUGGUUGCCCAUGCCUUUAAUCCCAGCACUUGCCUUUAAUCCCAGCACUCAGAAGGCAGAGGCAGGAGGAUCUCUGAGUUCUGGGGAAAGCCUUGCUCACCUUUUAAUCCCAGCAUUCAGAAGGCAGAGGCAGGGCGAUCUCUGUGAGUUCUGGGGAAAGCCUGGUCUACAAGGAGAGUUCCAGGACAGCCAGAGCUGUUGUUUGUUACACAGAGAAACAGUCUCAACACCACCAAACCAAACUAUUAUGUCCUUACCUUGUCAAUGGUGUAUUUUAGUAGAUACUCUUCUAGAUCAUUUGUUUCCUUUGUAUUACAUAAUUUACUUGUGAAAGUAUCCUUAUGUAUCACGCUGCCUCAGGAUCCCUUGGCAUACAGCCCGAGAUUAAGGUACCUCUUAUAAAAUAGUUAAAGCUGCCAGAGCAUGGGGAUUUGAACCUUGGUUCUAUUGUUCCAAUUCCUUGACUCUUAAACUAACGUCGAACGUAAAAUGAAAUAAAAGAUAAACUGGGUCCUGUGUAUGCCAGACACAGCAGUAGGCUGCUGUAAUUGGAUUACCUCUUGGUCACCUAAGCAGACAAGCAAGUGCUUGAUUAUUUGCCCUUGGUAGUUAAGGAAACUGAGGCCUAGCCGGGUCACACAGGUUUCGUGCUCAAGGUCACACAGGUGCAACCUGCCUGACCCCAGAUGGACCCCUGUAGUCUCUACAGUGUAGCACUUCCUGCUUCUUGUUGCCUCUGCUGUGCCAGCUGCAGAACUUCAGAGGAAGAGCCCGAAAGUGAUUGCAGCUAAGUUUGCUCUGGUGCAGCAUGUUUAAUCUAAGUCAUCAGCGUGGCUGCUCAGCUCAGCAGCAAAGACCCUGCUGUGCUUUCCUGGCUGGCUCACAAGCUCUGGCACUAGAAACAAAACCACACGGCCAUCACGGUUGCCUUCCUGGUGUUUUCUUAGCCCUAGUGCUGAGUAUCUACCCUGUUGCAAUCAUCCCUUCAAUUUUGCCUUGAGUGUAGUCCAAGCACUCAGGAGAAACUGAAGCAUUCUUUGUGAUAUAAAACUAUUGGCACGUGUCUUAUGGAGGACAGAUUGGUUUGCUCUUGUGACAGUUCAUUUGAAUGGUCAGGCUCAUUGGACUUAGAGAUUCAGAGCUCACUGUUUUAACCAUAGCGGUUAAGAGCACUUCCUGCUCUUAAAGAGGACCAGAGUUCUGUUCCCAGUGCCUACAUGCAGCUCACAACCACCUGUAACUCCAGUUCCAGGAGAUCCAGUGACCAUUCUGGUCUCCAUCGACAUCAGGCAGGCAGGCAGGCAGGAUACAUACAUAUGGGCGAAAAUGCACACAGUCAAAAGAAAAAAACAAGG
This 2009-nucleotide long non-coding RNA is filed under the name Mus musculus (house mouse). RNAcentral's name for it is "long non-coding RNA chr5:103755000-103757009". The record is from RNAcentral. Lineage: Eukaryota; Metazoa; Chordata; Mammalia; Rodentia; Muridae.